GAAGUGCGAUAUGUAAUGUGAAUUGCAGAAUACAGCGAAUCAUCGAAUCCUUGAACGCAACCUGCGCCUGAGAGUAAUCUCUCAGGCACACCUGUUCGAGUGUCGAUUUAAAUCCAAUCUCAAAAAAAUUUUUUUUUGAGGUCAUGAAAGUCAAGCUUUUUUUUCUCAUGAACGAGAGGCUCGUCUUUUGAAAUCGAGACGACACUUGGUUGAAAUGGAAAUUACAUCGUCUGAGUAUGAUCAGUUGAGUUGCUCUGUCAACAAAUAAUACCAAUCAUGCAAGGUGUUUUUUUUUCAUCUUUUAAUCAGUUAAAGUCGAAUAAAAAAAAAGUAGGAAAACUUUUUAUUUUUUCUUGGGUUAUUCAACCCUUCGACCUCGAAUCAGGUGAGAUUACCCGCU
This 400-nucleotide unclassified non-coding RNA is filed under the name uncultured fungus. RNAcentral describes it as "sequence contains ITS1". The stretch from base 1 to 105 matches the Rfam family "5.8S ribosomal RNA", at positions 50 to 154 of the family's 154-position model. Lineage: Eukaryota; Fungi. The record is from RNAcentral.